Molecule: ribosomal RNA, 266 nt
Filed under: uncultured archaeon
Lineage: Archaea
Description: partial 16S ribosomal RNA
Rfam family: Archaeal small subunit ribosomal RNA
Source: RNAcentral
ACACGACUACAUUAGAUACCCCCGUAGUCCAGGGUGUAAACGCUGCAGACUUGGUGUUGGGAACCCUUCGGGGGUGCUCAGUGCCGGAGAGAAGUUGUUAAGUCUGCUACUUGGGAGUACGUCCGCAAGGAUGAAACUUAAAGGAAUUGGGCGGGGGAGCACCGCAACGGGAGGAGCGUGCGGUUUAAUUGGAUUCAACGACCGAAAAACUCACCAGCAGCGACUGUUACAUGAAAGUCAGGUUGAUGACCUUACUAGAUUUUCAG